This 185-nucleotide small nuclear RNA is filed under the name Echinops telfairi (small Madagascar hedgehog). RNAcentral describes it as "U1 spliceosomal RNA (ENSETEG00000022976.1)". It matches the Rfam family "U1 spliceosomal RNA". From Rfam's summary of the family: U1 is a small nuclear RNA (snRNA) component of the spliceosome (involved in pre-mRNA splicing). Its 5' end forms complementary base pairs with the 5' splice junction, thus defining the 5' donor site of an intron. There are significant differences in sequence and secondary structure between metazoan and yeast U1 snRNAs, the latter being much longer (568 nucleotides as compared to 164 nucleotides in human). The record is from RNAcentral. Lineage: Eukaryota; Metazoa; Chordata; Mammalia; Afrosoricida; Tenrecidae.
AGAAUUGCAGAGACUACUGACAGCGUCAAGGAAUUGAAAAAUGUGAUUCCCCACGAAGGUGGGUUUCCCUGGGUGAGGCUUAUCCAUUGCACUCCGGAUGUGCUGACCCCUGUGAUUUCCCCAAAUGUAGGAGACUCGGCUGCAUACUUUGUGGUAGUGGGGGACUGUGUUCGCGCUCUCCCCUG